UCUUUCGGGGAUUUGAAUUCUUCGACCUUAAGAUUAACAACAAAUAUUAACAAGUAAAUAAACAUAAUCAAAAUGAAGAGGGAAAGAGAUUUGGGCCCAAAUCUGGUUUUCCUGUCCACCUGGGCCAGUAUUUGGGCCUAAUUUUUGUUUCGGGACCAAAGGCCCAAUAUUUAGUACCUGUCCUAAACUAAUCUUUGAAAUUUGUUUUUCUUUGGGCCUUUGGCCCAAUUCUUGUCUCCUUGUACCUGUCUUAAUAGCUAAUAGAUAAUAAUAAUUACAAUAAAAGGGCUUAGGCCCAAAAAUAGCAAAAUACAAUUUUAAAAUAAAGAGUGGGCCUUUGGCCUAAUUUCUCGACUCUCCAAUCUGUUGCAUAUUCUUUCGGGACCUGUUCGUCGGUUUUUUAUGGCUGGCUGACUUGGAAAGGGAAUUUGAGCCUUUAUGGCUCUCCCGAAAUGCAAAGGGGUGUAGACCCAAAUGGAGUUCUCCGCAAUCGCUCACAAUAAACAAAAUAAAAUAAAACUAGUCAACAAGGGGAAGAACAAGUUUUAGACCGUUAAGAAAAGGCUAUUCUGCAAAGAUCAAUUGAUGGAAACAAUUAUGAGAACACAAUGAACUUUAUUAAAUAUCACGC
This 631-nucleotide long non-coding RNA is filed under the name Solanum tuberosum (potato). RNAcentral's name for it is "long non-coding RNA (STUB_LNC000605)". Lineage: Eukaryota; Viridiplantae; Streptophyta; Magnoliopsida; Solanales; Solanaceae. The record is from RNAcentral.